UUCUUCCUCCCCGCUCCAAUUUCCUCCUCCCCUGUUUCUGUACAGAGGACGGCCCCCUCGUCGAUCUCCGGCGUUUGGCCACCACAGUUCGAUUGGCUCGAAAGUGAGCACCUCCAGACCUUACUCUACCAUCCCCAACCCGCGGCUCUUCCUUUCCCGGUCACCAGCGAGCUCCCCACGAACUCCCAUGGCCGCAGCAAUGGCUGCUCGGUGCGGACCACCUUCCACGCCCUCUCCCAUGCCCGGAGUCCCCAAAACUGAACUCCGUCGCCCUCCUCUCUCUCCCCGUUCUCUCAGAUUUCGAAACGGUGGACUAUAGCUCGAUCCCCGCGAAGCUCCGGCGAGUUGCCACCGUGGGUGCUGGCGGCGCCACCCGGGGACGUCGUCCUGCCUCUGCGCCUCUUUCCCGUGAGCAGAUGAGUCAUGGGCUUUGCGGGUCCUGCAGAUCACUACCGGCCCAAGAAAAACAAUAGCCCAACCACAUGAGCCACGUCCAUUAAGCUCGUGAAGCUCCCCUCCAUUUAUGUUAUAUCAUUUUCGGAAUUUAAUUAGAAGCCUCCAAUUACAAAGCCAUAUCUCACCUAUCUAAGCUCCAAAUCAAUUGAUUCUUUUUCCUCUAUUCCUAUAAAAUCAUAUACUAUCCAUUCCUCCUAUUUUCAUCUUCUUUUGAGCUCAUUUUGUGUUGUACUUGAUUGUGUUUGUUUGUCGUUUGCGUUGUAAUUGCUGUAGCCGACGGAGUGAUUGAGGAGGAGGACGAGUUUAGAGGCCAGCGCUGCGAUCUUGUGUACGAAGGCUAGGAUCGCGAGCCGGAGCUAGAAGCCCUGUACCAUGAUCAGGAACAGCCUGAAGGAUUUAAAGACGCGAUUGAUCUAGGCUUCAUUGAGCGUCGGAUCGAUGAUAUUCUUGGUCUCGAGACCUCCACGGAGUACAAGGCCAUCAAGCAGAAACUAGGCGGGACACGCACAAACCGUGUGUUCCUUGCGUUCGGCGUCACAGCCCCCCAGCGCAUCGCUGCGAUGAAGCACAAGGAAGCUGAAGAUAAAGAGAAAGGUAAACAGCUUAUCAAAGCCACGAAGGCAUCCGAGGGCGGUGGUAGCAGCUAUGCUACCGCGAGCCUUGAACAAAAGAAAAGAAAACACAAGACGAAGGGCGCCAGUGGGCACAAGCACUCCCAUCUCAUUGACACAGUGCCCUCAGGUCCUCCCCCGCUUCAAGACAAGGGGGACUCCGAAGAUGCUAUGGAAGCCAGCCCCAUCGCGGCGGCUCCCAUGUCGAUGGCGCUGCCUCACCCUUCGGUCUAUUUGGUGAUCCGGGACCCCGAAUCUUGAUCUUAGUGAUCAAGAGAUGGAGAGCGAUGAAGAAGAUGAAAAAAUAGAGGAGAUUGUUGUUGAUGAUGUGCCAAUUCAAUGCGCUCGACAUCGCGAGGAGAUUGUCCUGAGUUCUAGCGGGGCCACUUCUAGCUCCUCCGGCUCUAGCUCGUCAUCCUCGUCCGAGAGCAGCGAAGAGGAGGAUGCUCCAGCUGAUGACGAAGCGCCCCCUGAACGAGCGGCCCCUGCCAACAAGGUUCUGGGCGGAAACAAUGAAGCUGAAGGGAGCUUGCGCCUGACCGAUAGCGACGGUUACUUUGAGAGCCCCAAAGACCCCACUGCCAUUGUUGCUGAACUAAAUGCAUUCGAAGCCAAACUCAUCGGGGCGACAGAUUAUUGGCAGCCUUCGCUUCAAGAGCACGACCGAGAACAUGGAUUCUUGCGUGAGGCUGGUGAGUGUUUCUGUUUCCCGUUAAUGGAAAAGGAAUUGAUGAAGUCUGGCAUGGCCAACAUGCUUCGCUGCAUUGAGGAUUUGUCAUUGAAGGCAUUUGUCGCUACUCGUUGUGCCAACCACCAACUCCAAGCCGAAGCUCUGCCUCCUCUCACUUGUCAGAGUUGGAGGAAAAAAUUGCUAUGCUGGAACGAGAAAAGCUGGAGCUCCAGAAGGCCCUCAAAGCCGAGCAAAGCCAGCACACCGCUGCGUGCACCGAGGCUGAAACCGAAGUUGAAAUAAACAAGAAUCUCACAAAUCAACUUGCUGAAGUGCAGGUUCGAUUUGAGACAGCCGAAGCUCGAGCCACUAAGGCAGAAGAGAAGCGUCGAGUCUCGUGCAAAAAUUUCAAGGUUUAUCACGCAACUCUUUCCGUCGGCAUGGCUCAAUUGCAGGAGGAGGGCCCCCGUCUUUUGUCCGCCUAUGGCUUGAUCGCUCCGGAGCUUGCUGGUCCUGAGGACUUGGAAAUCCAACAAUUUUUCAAAUGGCUACGGGCAUGUCUUGCUAUGGUGGACUCCGGGAGCUACCUCUAUGGGGAUCUGUGUGCCAUUGUCGCGACCUGAAGCUGGUGUUUCUUAGGGUAUUCUCAAGGCUCAUCUUCAUGCACUGCGCGACCGUACCUUCGAGUGGCCUUCGGAAGAAGCCGUCCAGAUAGGGAACUUGCUCCCCCUUCCUGAAAAUAUUGCCAAGAACUUAUCGAAUCAUUUUUUCAAGGGGUAAUGCUCUUGUUUGCUACGAAGGUGAUCGACUGAAGGAGCAGCGGAGUCCUACGCCAAGGAGUUUCUUUGUACUGCUUCGACUGCGGGCCCUUCUUCACAAGCUGCUGCUACUGCUUCGGAGGCUGCAGUUGAGAUGCUUAUACCUGUACACCCUUCGUCUACGCAGAGUGGUGUUGAUGGUUCAGAUGCUCAAGCUAACCCUUCGGGUGUUGAAAGAGCGGAAACUGGAGAGGACCCUACGACGGAACCUGCGUGGGUCACCGAAGAUAUAUUGCUUGUGACAAUGAAUCACGAUGAUUUCUUCGUAACUAGGCAAGCCUGGGCGAAGUUUCACUCAGUGUUCCCUUCGUGACUUUUGAUGAAUUCUGAGCCCUUAAGCUCCAUACAUAUGAAAAAUGCAAUGUUGCUGCGAAGGAAAUUUUUGCUGAGUUCGAGCGUGAUCUUGCUGCUCACGCUAAGCUUGCCUGAAGGGCUUAAGGAGCCAACAUCGGAGCCUGUGGAAAAUGAAUGCGGUCCUUUGGAGUAUAUGUACCACGUUAGAACGUGACCGAAGAGAAGAAACCAUUAUCUCUCCUGUCCCGCACAAUCUUCGGCUGCAGGGAUGCCGUCCGACAAUAGCCUUCGUCGCAUGGCCGAAGAUAUCAUCCGUGUUGCCGUUCAAGAGUUGAUAGAUGAAAUUGAUCAUGUUGUAUUUGAUGAAGAACAGUGAUGUUUUCAGAUUAUUUGUUGUAUUUUAUGAAA
This is a long non-coding RNA of Panicum hallii, 3257 nucleotides long. RefSeq lists it as uncharacterized. The record is from RefSeq and is a predicted model, not a curated record. The transcript is spliced from 5 exons. Lineage: Eukaryota; Viridiplantae; Streptophyta; Magnoliopsida; Poales; Poaceae.